UUCCAGUUGAUGAGUCCCGGAUAGGACGAAAUGCGCAUCCUGGAU
Trichobilharzia regenti is the source of this 45-nucleotide non-coding RNA. The record is from Rfam. Lineage: Eukaryota; Metazoa; Platyhelminthes; Trematoda; Strigeidida; Schistosomatidae.